ACGUGACUACAUGUCUCCCCUUCUGGCUGCCACGUGAUGCCUUUUAGCGUAGCCAACCCCACACGUCCUAUUUGCUUUCCACUGUGCCGUUCCUCUUAUAAAAUUUCACUUCUUUUUGCAUGCAUGGUGGGGUUCCAACUUGGAACCGUGUGUGGGAAAUUUCCACAUCCUGCAUUAGCUCUUUUGGCACAGGGUGGGAUGGGGUCCAGGCAUCUUGAGACGUUGUGAGCCUCAUGUUCUUACCUUACUUUAAGGUCGAGAUCUUAAAUCGUGGCCAUCUUUAUCCUGCGUACGUAGUACCAUUGAUGGCCAUUCUUUCUUAUGUAUGCAUCUAAGUGUAUAUGUAUGUGUGCAUGUAUGUUACUGGAGAAGGUUUGGUUGGUUGAAAUAAAUAUAAAAUUGUCGUCAUGUC
Molecule: long non-coding RNA, 412 nt
Filed under: Phoenix dactylifera (date palm)
Lineage: Eukaryota; Viridiplantae; Streptophyta; Magnoliopsida; Arecales; Arecaceae
Description: long non-coding RNA (PDAC_LNC002264)
Source: RNAcentral